CCCUUAGAUGUUCUGGGCUGCACGCGCGCUACAAUGGUGCGAGCAAUGAGAUGAGGGCUGAACCGAGAGGUUUGGCGCGCCUCGUAAACCGCACCCUGCCAGGGAUAGAUCAUUGCAAUUGUUGUUCUUGAACGAGGAAUGCCUAGUAAGCACGAGUCAUCAGCUCGUGCUGAAUACGCCCCUGCCCUUUGUACACACCGCCCGUCGCUCCUGCCAAUGGAUCGACUGGAGAGAGUGAGAGAUCGACCAGGGUAACACCCUCGCGUUGUAGACCUCCCUCGAUCCGUCAGUAUCUAAAGGAAGGAGAANUCGUAACA
This 317-nucleotide ribosomal RNA is filed under the name uncultured eukaryote. RNAcentral describes it as "partial 18S ribosomal RNA". It matches the Rfam family "Eukaryotic small subunit ribosomal RNA", at positions 1470 to 1796 of the family's 1831-position model. The record is from RNAcentral.